GAUGAACGCUGACAGAAUGCUUAACACAUGCAAGUCAACUUGAACUUCGGUUUGGGUGGCGGACGGGUGAGUAACGCGUAAAGAACUUGCCUCACAGCUAGGGACAACAUUUGGAAACGAAUGCUAAUACCUGAUAUUAUGAUUAUAUGGCAUCGUAUAAUUAUGAAAGCUAAAUGCACUGUGAGAGAGCUUUGCGUCCCAUUAGCUAGUUGGAGAGGUAACGGCUCACCAAGGCGAUGAUGGGUAGCCGGCCUGAGAGGGUGAUCGGCCACAAGGGGACUGAGACACGGCCCUUACUCCUACGGGAGGCAGCAGUGGGGAAUAUUGGACAAUGGACCAAGAGUCUGAUCCAGCAAUUCUGUGUGCACGAUGAAGUUUUUCGGAAUGUAAAGUGCUUUCAGUUGGGAAGAAAGAAAUGACGGUACCAACAGAAGAAGUGACGGCUAAAUACGUGCCAGCAGCCGCGGUAAUACGUAUGUCACGAGCGUUAUCCGGAUUUAUUGGGCGUAAAGCGCGUCUAGGUGGUUAUGUAAGUCUGAUGUGAAAAUGCAGGGCUCAACUCUGUAUUGCGUUGGAAACUGUAUAACUAGAGUACUGGAGAGGUAAGCGGAACUACAAGUGUAGAGGUGAAAUUCGUAGAUAUUUGUAGGAAUGCCGAUGGGGAAGCCAGCUUACUGGACAGAUACUGACGCUGAAGCGCGAAAGCGUGGGUAGCAAACAGG
RNAcentral lists this ribosomal RNA (722 nucleotides) under uncultured Fusobacterium sp. RNAcentral's name for it is "bacterial SSU rRNA". It matches the Rfam family "Bacterial small subunit ribosomal RNA", at positions 28 to 776 of the family's 1533-position model. The record is from RNAcentral. Lineage: Bacteria; Fusobacteriati; Fusobacteriota; Fusobacteriia; Fusobacteriales; Fusobacteriaceae.